This 697-nucleotide long non-coding RNA is filed under the name Nicotiana benthamiana. Its description in RNAcentral is "long non-coding RNA (NBEN_LNC003920)". Lineage: Eukaryota; Viridiplantae; Streptophyta; Magnoliopsida; Solanales; Solanaceae. The record is from RNAcentral.
CAGAAAAAUCAUUUCUCUCUCAUUUCUUCUUCUUCUGCUGCUGCUUUCCCUCUCUCUCUUCAUGUGAUCCUACCUGUUCUAGGGUUCUUCUUCUCGCUGAUCCUAUGAAAUCUAACAGGGUGACACACAGCACAACUUCAAAUUAGCCCAUAAAUAAUAUAUAAUGAGUUACAUGAAGCUUAGUUCGAGGAAGCUGAGAUCCGUGAAUCGUAAUAGUGAGUCAUGUAAAACUUAAUUCAAGCGAGAAAUUAUUAUUUUAUGUGAAUAAAGUCUCAUAUUAAUAAUUGUAAAGAUUGAGAAUUUAUAUAUAAAAUAUAUAAAUAUCUUAAUUAUAUAUGAUUUUUUGAAGAAUCGUACGGACGUGAUCCAAAACAAACAAUAUUAUAUCAUAUUAAAGAUAUCUUUGAGCAAUUAUAACCUUACAAUACCGACAAGAGUUACAUAGCUGAUUAACAAGCGUCCAUUUUUGAAUGAUUAAAGUGAACUGCGGGUAUCUCUUCAAACGAGGGGAUCAUAAUAGUCAUGGUCCUCAUGGACAUGAAAUGCUUAAUUUUGCAUGCUUUGAAGUUUGGACAUUGAACAUUAAUUUGCCACUGGACAACGGAAAAGACAAACGACUUACUUUGGUUUCUCCGUAUGGAAAUUAGUUGAAUUGUUCUUACUCGUUAUGAUUAUUGCAGUGCCAUGUGAUCUCUCC